AUGGGCAAAUCUUGGCUUUGGGCCCUGUUUCCUGCGACGAUGACGAUGAUGGCGUACAUCACUGUAACGACGGCUACCUCGACCUCGGUACCGUCCCUCUCUACGAUUACCAGCACCGAAAUCCUCGAUACAAAAAGGGCGGGUAUCGAAGAAGCUCUGGACGUGAUAGAAGCGGCAUCAACCGGAUCAUUGGGUGAAGAUUGUGCCACGACAGCUGGUUUUAAAUCUUUACCAGCUGCCGUAGCACUUGAUCCUCGACGUUACGAUACCGCACGUCAAAAAGCUGACAUGACAGCCCUGAUGCUCCAAAAUCUUGGCACUGUCGGGGUGUCAAGGCAUAAUACGCUUUUAGAUGUGCUAGCAAAGUCGUUACUGAUGUCAGUGAACGACGCCGUGGAGACAAGGGUGAUCGCACUAAACGCGUCCACGGGUGCAGUAAUUAGUGCAGUCUGGUUGGAAAGAAGCCCGGGAAGUGUCGGAGAACCAUUCAAGGUCGAGAGCCAUGGACUCCAGCCGGGAUCUAUACCGGAUUCUAAUUUACCGUGGUUCGAAAAUGCGGGUGCCACCACAGAAUUAAGGUCACCGAAAUUCAUGCAGUCACCGGCGAUUGAAUCCUACAGGGGUUGGUGGACCAUCCCGUAUUUCUCCUGCAAAAGUCAUCGAUGGUUGAUUUCGUACAGUGUUAACAUACGACCGCCAGACGCUCGCCACGGGGUUCGUGAAUUUUUAAGCGUAGAUAUCGAUAUUAGCGGGCUAGAAGUAAAUCAAUGUGAUCCAUCGCCGCAUAGCAAUGAGAAUGAAAUUCUAAGUAAUCAAAUAGCAUCUUUUAAAGGCACGCACAAAUGUCAUACCGACACCACUCAGUGUGAAUAUCAAAGUCCGAGCAAUCGUAUAAAUCAAAAUGGCGUCGGCGCUGGUUGGGCAAAGGGUGCAUAUAUAUGCAAAUGUCGAAAAGGUUAUUACGACAAGAACCAACAUCAAUCCGCUUUCAAUGGAAUCCUCGUCGAAACCGCUUGGAAGGAAAUGCAAGAAAACAUAAGCGAUUGGUACAUGACGAUGUUUCGUUGCUUACGUUGUGCCCCGGGAUGCGUUAAAUGUAAGGGGCCGGAACCUUGUCUGGCCACCUACAACUGGCCCUUCCGAAUCGCUCUUUUAUCGUUCUCUAUUUUCUGUGUGUUUGGUACUAUCAUCCUAGUCGUCUACAUGUAUCAACACCGUAAACUCAAAGUGUUCAAGGUUGCUUCGCCGAUAUUUUUGUCUAUCACGCUUUUGGGUUGCGCCAUCAUGUAUCUUGAAAUGGCCGCGAUAUUUCCGGUUUUGGACAUGUAUUCUUGUAUCGCGACCAAAUGGACAAGACAUCUUGGUUUUUGUAUUUCUUAUACCGCAUUGUUGAUGAAAACCUGGAGAGUUUCUCUCACAUACCGUGUAAAAAGCGCGCACAAAGUAAAGCUCACGGACAAACAAUUGCUGCAAUGGAUGGUCCCGAUAUUGUUAGUAAUGUUAAUUUAUCUGGGCACGUGGACGCUCAGCGCACCACCAUACGCUGAAGAGAUAGCCGACAAUUAUGGUCUAAAGUUCAAUCAAUGCUCCUUCAAUUGGUGGGACCAUAGUUUAGCUAUCGGAGAAAUUCUGUUCCUUGCAUGGGGCAUUAAAGUUUGCUACAACGUUCGCAAUGCAGAAAGUCUUUUUAAUGAGGCCCGUUUGAUAAGCUAUGCUAUUUACAAUAUAGCAGCUGUGAACAUAACCAUGAUUGCCAUUCAUCUCUUCAUUUUCCCUCAUGCUGGCCCAGAUAUCAAAUAUUUAUUAGGCUUUCUACGUACACAAUUGUCUACUUCUGUCACUGUGUUUCUUGUAUUUGCGCCAAAGGUGAUUCGAGUUUUACGUGGUCAAGGAGAUCAAUGGGAUAGCCGUGCUAGAGCACGAGGUGUCACAGCGAGUUUCUCUUUAAAUGGAAUCGGUUUAGUAUCCGAGGAAGCGACAGAUUUGCAUCAAGAAAACGAAGAACUGAAGGAAGAAAUUCAGAAAUUAGCGGCACAGAUCGAAUUCAUGAAGAUCGUACACAUGGAAAUGUACAAUCGUCACAUCAAACCGAAAGCAGGUGGCUACUUUAGUACCCAUGGACACGGGCAUAGUCAUCCGUCCUCGGCGCAGAGUCCAAUUGCCAAAAGUUCGACAGCCAGUUUUAUAUUGAAAUAAAUUAUUGAGCAGACGGCCGUGGAGCGAGGAGCGAGUGCGGCCGCGGCUGCCGCGGUCGAAGAUUCCACUUUUCCUUCUGGAAGUUUGCACAGAGCGCGUAGAAUGGAAAUACUUAGAGAACGAAAAGCGGAAAGGGGCAGAGAACGAGAGAAAGAGCGGGAGAAGGAGAGAGAGAAGGAACAAGAGAAAUAUAUGGAGAAGGAUAAGGAGAGAGAGAAGGAGAAAGAAAGUGGAAAGGAAAAGAAGAUUGAAAAAGAGAAGGAAACAGAAAUGGAGAAAGAGGAGAACAAAGAGAGACAAAGAGAGAAAGAAAAGCAGGAUAAAAAGCAAGAUGAUAAUGGUGAAGCGAGUGGAGAAGUUUGACUAGUACUGAAUAGCGAUGAGAUAUGGUUGUGACAAAUUCGAGGAAUUGAGAAAAAUAAAAAAACGAGUGGAAAAUAUGAUGGUGAAAAUAGAAAAGAGAAAAAGAAGAAGAAUCUUAAAUGGUACCUUCUAAUGGACAUUAGGCGUUCAUGGUUUGUAUAAAUCAAAGAACUGUGUAAUCAGUAAAUAGUGAAUAUUAAAUCCGUAUAACGUGUGUGUAUAUAUAUAUGUUUAUAUAUAUAUAUAUAUAUUACGUGUCAUUUGUUUGUGGUGACAAUGUCUUCUUGUUAGCUUUAUUGUAAAUUAUUUAUGUUACCACCAAAUGACACCUUGUUGUACGAAGAAAGCAUAUUAUGUAUAAUGACGAUAAUGAAGAAAUAUCUUUAAUGAUAUAGUUAUACAAAAUUUUUAUUAAUUUCAUUACUCAACGAGUAACGAAAUUCUUAUUAUUUUAAUAGUUAUAAAUGAUUGCGAAUGUAGUAAUAUUACUCUUAGGUAAAAAUAAUCCUGAGAUACCUGUGAAGUAGAAGAACGAAAAUUGUAUUUCUUGUUACCGAAACGAUCACCUUUGUGAUUCAUGUUAAAUCAAAUCGUAAGUUGUGUAGAUCAAUCCAAAUAGUUCAAUGAUUAACGAUCGAUUAUUUUACACGAUUAACGAUGAUUUUGUUCUAGAAUAAUAUAUAUAUGAUUUGAAAAAAUAGUUGAAAGAAAGGAAGAAAAUUGUUCAAUAUAAUUGUAAUAUUAAAUGUGUCAGAAUGUAUUGUAUUAAAAUGUGUUACUUGUGUAGUAGAAAUGACAACAAUGACACAAAUACGAAUCUUAUGAUAAUUAUUUUGACUAUUAUUUUUAAUUUAUAUAUAUAUAUA
Molecule: RNA transcript, 3425 nt
Organism: Apis cerana (Asiatic honeybee)
Lineage: Eukaryota; Metazoa; Arthropoda; Insecta; Hymenoptera; Apidae
Gene name: putative G-protein coupled receptor CG31760
Source: RefSeq, a predicted model, not a curated record